Molecule: ribosomal RNA, 274 nt
Filed under: uncultured bacterium
Lineage: Bacteria
Description: partial 16S ribosomal RNA
Rfam family: Archaeal small subunit ribosomal RNA
Source: RNAcentral
AAACCAGCACCUCAAGUGGUCAGGAUGAUUAUUGGGCCUAAAGCACCCGGAGCCUGCUUUGGCAGUUGUCGGUUAAAUCCAUACGCUCAACGUAUGGGCUGCCGGAAAUACUGCAAAGCUAGGGAGUGGGAGAGGUAGACGGUAAUCGGGAGGAAGGGGUAAACUCCUUUGAUCUCUCGAUGACCACCUGUGGCGAAGGCGGUCUACCAGAACACGUCCGACGGUGAGGGAUGAAAGCUGGGGGAGCAAACCGGAUUAGAAACCCGAGUAGUCC